RNAcentral lists this long non-coding RNA (1518 nucleotides) under Anas platyrhynchos platyrhynchos (common mallard). RNAcentral's name for it is "lncRNA (ENSAPLG00000027384.1)". The record is from RNAcentral. Lineage: Eukaryota; Metazoa; Chordata; Aves; Anseriformes; Anatidae.
UGAUUUAAUUCAGCCCACACCCCAGCACCCUCCAGGAUGGAGCUCUCUAUCCCAUUAUUCCCACUACCCACUAUCUGUGUUACAGUGCAGCCCCGGAUCAGAGCUCUGGCAGCCAAAAGAUGGAGUUGCCUUAGCAACAGGAGUGGCAUGAAAGUGCAGGGACUUGCUGGCAUCCCUUCAGCACCCUCACAUCCACAGGCUGAGGCAGCCAGCUCACACCCAGGUCAGAGGAAGGGAGGAGAGAGCAGAGCCUUACCAGCUGGAGUCAUGCCCCAGUCGCCCUGAGCUAUUACACCAGGAGUAAAUUGCAUGUAGGUUUUGCUUUGCUAAUUGCUGCCUUUAUCCCAGCUUCUGAGGCUGCAGUAGUAGGGUGAUAACCAGGAAUAAAUACAUUUAAAUAACAAACGACAGAAGCUCCAAAUUGCUGGCUAUAAUUUGUUGUUAAGUGCCACAUAAGUGGGGUCAAUUCUGUCCGAGCUAAAAUAGGUUGCCAGGCAAGAGCCAGAACAAAGGGAAAGCCCCAGGAAGCUCUGGGGGGAAGACUCUGCCCUCCGCCUGAAGGGCAGUGCUGCCCAAGACACAGAAGCUCAGCAGGAUCCCUAUGUAAAGAGCUGAGCAUGCAUUUCAGUCUGGUGACGGACCACAGAGUGAAGAAUGUGAUGAGUACAGAAAUCCAUUCACAAUGUGCACAGGACUUCCCCACAGGGCUAUCUCCAAUUCACAGCUACUCAGAGGUGCCCUGGAAAAGCUGAGGAUUGACCCUUGGGAAUGCUGCAGGCACAGGAGUCAAGCUGGAGAGCAGAUGCACUAGAAGGCAGAGCAUCUCCCUGGUCACUGCUGCUAACCUGCAUGUGUCGGCAAGCACUCAGCCUGCAGGGCAGUGUUUGUGUGUGCACUGGUGUAUGGUGUCAUAAUGGAAUUACAAUACCUAAAAUAACAGGGGGGAUUUCCAUGCAGGAGGUCUCAAACUUCAGCAUACCUUGGCUGCUCCUUCCCUCUGCAUGUCUGGGACUAGUGUGGCCUAUGGCAUCUAUUUGGCAGGUGAACUUUAUACUCUCCCAGCUAUCAAGCUGUGGCUGAUUGCCCAGCACCUGGAUGAGGAGUUCCCUGCCACUGAAGCCUCCAUGCGACAUCCCUGUAGGUAACAGAGAUCUCUUCAGGCAGGCAGGCAGUUGUUGUUCCAUAUGAAGUAAAGCCCUAACUAGCAUCUCUGCUUGUUCCAUUAUUUAAGCUUUCUCUUGGUCAAAUGUGCCCAAAUAACUCAGGUUGGAUACUAGCCAUUCAGCGAAGACUCCUAGAGCAAAAUUAAUAAUCCGCUGCCUCCUGUUCAGCAUGCUCAGUACCAUCUCAGCUGUUAAUUCUGCAGCCUGUGAGCAUUUGGAGUUUACAGUUAUUUUCCUAGGACAGAUGGCAGACAGCACUGUAGUAGAGGGGCAGAUGGCUGUGCACCUAUGAGCAAAAAAAAAAAAAAAAAUAGAAUAGAAUAAAGAAAAAAAAAAAGAAAAGAAAAAACCUGCA